Molecule: ribosomal RNA, 253 nt
Filed under: uncultured bacterium
Lineage: Bacteria
Description: partial 16S ribosomal RNA
Rfam family: Bacterial small subunit ribosomal RNA
Source: RNAcentral
UACGUAGGGUGCAAGCGUUGUCCGGAAUUAUUGGGCGUAAAGAGCUCGUAGGCGGUUUGUCGCGUCGAAUGUGAAAACCCGAGGCUCAACCUCGGGCCUGCAGUGGGUACGGGCAGACUAGAGUGCGGUAGGGGAGAUUGGAAUUCCUGGUGUAGCGGUGGAAUGCGCAGAUAUCAGGAGGAACACCGAUGGCGAAGGCAGAUCUCUGGGCCGUAACUGACGCUGAGGAGCGAAAGCGUGGGGAGCGAACAGG